Molecule: ribosomal RNA, 1372 nt
Filed under: uncultured bacterium
Lineage: Bacteria
Description: bacterial SSU rRNA
Rfam family: Bacterial small subunit ribosomal RNA
Source: RNAcentral
GAUGAACGCUGGCGGCGUGCCUAAUACAUGCAAGUCGAGCGAACGGACGAGAAGCUUGCUUCUCUGAUGUUAGCGGCGGACGGGUGAGUAACACGUGGAUAACCUACCUAUAAGACUGGGAUAACUUCGGGAAACCGGAGCUAAUACCGGAUAAUAUUUUGAACCGCAUGGUUCAAAAGUGAAAGACGGUCUUGCUGUCACUUAUAGAUGGAUCCGCGCUGCAUUAGCUAGUUGGUAAGGUAACGGCUUACCAAGGCAACGAUGCAUAGCCGACCUGAGAGGGUGAUCGGCCACACUGGAACUGAGACACGGUCCAGACUCCUACGGGAGGCAGCAGUAGGGAAUCUUCCGCAAUGGGCGAAAGCCUGACGGAGCAACGCCGCGUGAGUGAUGAAGGUCUUCGGAUCGUAAAACUCUGUUAUUAGGGAAGAACAUAUGUGUAAGUAACUGUGCACAUCUUGACGGUACCUAAUCAGAAAGCCACGGCUAACUACGUGCCAGCAGCCGCGGUAAUACGUAGGUGGCAAGCGUUAUCCGGAAUUAUUGGGCGUAAAGCGCGCGUAGGCGGUUUUUUAAGUCUGAUGUGAAAGCCCACGGCUCAACCGUGGAGGGUCAUUGGAAACUGGAAAACUUGAGUGCAGAAGAGGAAAGUGGAAUUCCAUGUGUAGCGGUGAAAUGCGCAGAGAUAUGAAGGAACACCAGUGGCGAAGGCGACUUUCUGGUCUGUAACUGACGCUGAUGUGCGAAAGCGUGGGGAUCAAACAGGAUUAGAUACCCUGGUAGUUCACGCCGUAAACGAUGAGUGCUAAGUGUUAGGGGGUUUCCGCCCCUUAGUGCUGCAGCUAACGCAUUAAGCACUCCGCCUGGGGAGUACGACCGCAAGGUUGAAACUCAAAGGAAUUGACGGGGACCCGCACAAGCGGUGGAGCAUGUGGUUUAAUUCGAAGCAACGCGAAGAACCUUACCAAAUCUUGACAUCCUUUGACAACUCUAGAGAUAGAGCCUUCCCCUUCGGGGGACAAAGUGGCAGGUGGUGCAUGGUUGUCGUCAGCUCGUGUCGUGAGAUGUUGGGUUAAGUCCCGCAACGAGCGCAACCCUUAAGCUUAGUUGCCAUCAUUAAGUUGGGCACUCUAAGUUGACUGCCGGUGACAAACCGGAGGAAGGUGGGGAUGACGUCAAAUCAUCAUGCCCCUUAUGAUUUGGGCUACACACGUGCUACAAUGGACAAUACAAAGGGCAGCGAAACCGCGAGGUCAAGCAAAUCCCAUAAAGUUGUUCUCAGUUCGGAUUGUAGUCUGCAACUCGACUACAUGAAGCUGGAAUCGCUAGUAAUCGUAGAUCAGCAUGCUACGGUGAAUACGUUCCCGGGUCU